CUAUUUCUAAUAUCUGAACAUACAAGAAAACUAUAAUCUCUUCCUUCACCUUAUCGGUCUCUUUCUUACAGCAAUUCAGUCAUACCAAUAACUACUAUUUCCACCAAUAUAUUCACCCUCAUAAUCUCCAAUUGUAAUAUUGUGUCCUUAUAGCUUUCAGCACACAAUUAUCCUCGUUUCAAUCAUUGGAAUUCUUUACACAGAACUGCCAUUCACAUUACAGUGUUUCACACAAAUACAGACUCAAUCUCUCUG
This 255-nucleotide long non-coding RNA is filed under the name Physcomitrium patens. RNAcentral's name for it is "long non-coding RNA (PPAT_LNC003058)". Lineage: Eukaryota; Viridiplantae; Streptophyta; Bryopsida; Funariales; Funariaceae. The record is from RNAcentral.